UGACUGCAUUUUAUGUAGUCAAAUGUUUUCAUGGUGUUUUUCCGUGGUGUUUUUCUAUCACGUUUCUUUCUGGCUGUCUGCAGCUGUGUCUCGUUUGGAAGACUGCGUGCUAGGUAGGACGUGUCCUUUGAAGGCUGCAGUAUACAGAGGGUUUUGUAUGUGCCAGCACCACUGGCAUUUUCUUUAGUAUAAGUUCCUAUUGCAUUAUGAUUUGUCUACAAGAACUGUUUAGACAAAAUCCUAAAUGUUUGAUCUGAGUUGCUAAUUGCUGUUUAAAUUGGCUUAGAGAUAGGGUGAGGAGCUCAGUCAUUCGUGAGGAGCUCGGAGUAUAGCCGCUGCUCCUUUGCGUCGAAAGGAGCCAGUUGAGGUGGUUUGGGCAUCUGGUAAGGGUGCCCCCUGGGCGCCUCCCUAAGGAGGUAUUUCAGGCACGUCCAGCUGGGAGGAGGCCUCGGGGAAGACCCAGGACUAGGUGGAGAGAUUACAUCUCCACACUGGCCUGGGAACGCCUCGGGGUCGCCCAGUCAGAGCUGGUUAAUGUGGCUCGGGAUAGGGAAAUUUGGGACCCCUUGCUGGAGCUGCUGCCCCGCGACCCGACAUCGGAUAAGUGGUUGAAGAUGGAUGGAUGGAUGCAGGGGCGAAAAUUUCAUUAAAAUGUUGGGGGGGACAAUAAACAUAACAAUUUUCAAGAGCAAUUUUUGAAGGGGACACCAAGGUUUUUUUUGUUGUUGCCCCGUUUGCAUUUGUAUUAUUUUAUUUCUUAAACAUUGUUUUAAGAAUAUAUCAUUAUAUUAUUUACAAUACACAUAUUUUAAUGAUAUUUUAGGGGGGGACAACCCUCAGAUGGGGGGGUCCUGACCUCCCCGACCCCCGCGCGAUUUCCGCCUAUGGAUGGAUGCAUGUUCUUAAAAAUAUAAUAAAGUGUGUUUCUUCAAGCCUGUGUCUUUGUGUCUAACAGCAUUUCUUGUCAUGUUUCACUCUGAGAUGUCUUGCAGGUCGACAACCACAGAGGCGGAUAGACGAGCAAAAUUACCUGCCUCUGUGCAUGAAAUAGACAACCCGCAAUUGGCAGGUUGUGACUCGAGCAGGUACUAAUUUAACAUCCUGUGCUACUAUUUAACAUUUUUGCUGACUUCCCAGCUCCAUAGUUUUGUCAUUUCCCGAUAUUGUUGAACAUCGCCUGUCAAUAAGUCUUGAUAUCGGCAUCGGGGUAUUUGUCAGAUAUCAUUGUUUUCCAAUUACAUCGCCCAGCCCAAUUAUGAAUAAUUAAAAGUCCUGCGUUAUGCACCAAAUCUUUUGGGGGUUUGGUUGAACAACAAAUCUGGAAUUUUGCUCAGUUUGGACUCUUGCUGCUUCUAUGUCUGUGCCGUCACAGUAAGUACUAAGACAUUUUUUUAACAUUCAAAAAAGCUAUUUUAAAAAGUGAUGAUUAAUCAGUUAUUGGCCGUUUCCACCAUGCCAGAUUUACCUUCAGAUACUGAACCCACAGUUUUUUCAUCUUGUCAUGUAAUUGCUCAUUGGUUCUUUGGUAUCCACAAGCACAAAGUUAGUUGCAAAUCUUAUCAAAUAUCUUGUAGUUCUUGUGUGUUGUAUCCAGUUGUUCCUGUAUACUCUCAUCUGCCCACAUUUCCAGUAAACACUGCACCUAUGGCGUUGAGCAAAAUUAUCCCUUUGACCAAUUGUAUCAAUGACAUCAUGUUUCGAGUUCCAUGCUGAUGUUAGCGAUCACACUAGAUGCGUACUGUGCCUGAGCCAACAGAACAGUGCCCGAGCCCAUCUCUUCAAGUGGACAAAGGCACGGUUCAGCCUACCAUGCCUGGGCACGGUAUGGAGUGAUCACACUAGUCAAACAAACUGGAAUUUGGGGGUCAAACGUGCUCGGGCACAGUACAGAUUGCCUAGUGUGUGUGCACCCUAAGUUAACUGUGCCUUAAGCAGCUUGGAAAAUUCCAGAAAAUGGUGUCAAUCCUUUAGGCAAUUAGACAAUUAGCUUGCUGAUAGGCUAAUCUGAGUCUUUUUUAGGUGUACCUGUGGAUGUAUUUUAAGGCAUACCUUCAAACUCAGUGCCUUUUUGCUUGACAUCAUGGGAAAAUUAAAAGAAAUCGGCCAAACCUCAGAAAAAAUUGUUUGGACCUCCACAAGUCUGGUUCAUCCUUGGGAGCAAUUUCCAAAUGCCUGAAGUUCAUCUGUACAAACAAUAGUACACACGUAUAAACAAUAUGGGACCAUGCAGCCAUCAUACCGCUCAGGAAGGAGACGCAUUCUGUCUCCUGGAGAUGAAUGUAGUUUGGUGUGAAAAGUGCAAAUCGAUCCCAUAAGGACAGCAAAGGACCUUGUGAAAUGCUGGAUGGAAUAGAUAGACAAGUAUCUAUAUCCACAGUAAAACAAGUCCUAUAUCGACAUAACCUGGAAGGCUGCUCAGCUAGGAAUAAGUCACUGCUCCGAAACUGCCAUAAAAAAGCCAGACUUUAGUUUGCAAGAGCACAUGGGGAAAAAGAUUGUACUUUUUGGAGAGAUGUCCUCUCUUCUGAUGAAACAAAAAUGGAACAGUUUGGCCAUAAUGACCAUCAUUAUGUUUGGAGGAAAAAGGGUGAGGCUUGCAAGGCGAGGAGUGGCGCAUGGGGAUGGCAGCAUAGUGUUGUGGGUGUGCAUUGCUGCAGGAGGGACUGGUGCAUUUCACAAAUAGAUAGCAUCAUGAAGAAGGAAAAAUAAUGUGGAUAUAUUGAAGGAAUAUCUCAAUACAUCAACCAUGAAGUUAAAGCUCUGUUGCAAAUGGGUCUUCCAAAUGGACAAUGACCCCAAGCAUACGUCCAAAGAUGUGGCAAAAUGGCUUAAGGACAACAAGUCAAGGUGUUGGAUUGGCCAUCAUAAAGCCCUGACCACAAUCCAAUAGAAAAUUUGUGGGCAGAACUGAUGAAGCGUGUGCGAGCAAGGAGGCCAAAUAUUGGUUUGACCUGUUUUUUUUGUUUUUUUGGUCAAAUAUAUAGUAAUUUGUUUGUUCUUAUAAGUGAAUUACACUUUGGCAGAUAAAGACAAUGCAGCGUUAUGUGUGGACGAAGAGAGAAAGUACUGAGAAGGGACAGCCUUUAGUGGAUCUUGUUGAUCAGGUGAGUUUUAUUCUUCACCAUGUUGAAAUUCCACAUAACUCAAAUAACUUGUAUCUUACGGCAUCUUGCUGUUCAUUUUUUGUGUUGAUUUAUUGUUAUAUCAGCAAUGGUUGUUUCUAUGUUUUGGCCUUUUUCAACUGGUUUGUUUUUAAUUUCCUCAAACAUGUGUGAAUAGGGUUAAAAGCAGUAGCGAUGUGGUGGGCGCUAUGCUGCGAGAGCUGAGGCUGUACAUUUUCAGAAGUAGAAUAUAAAUGCAGAUAUGUUUAAAAUAAAAAUAAUGUUUUUGACACAUGGCUUCCUCUUCAUUUUUAUGGUGUGUGAACCAGAAGAACUGACUCUGAUUCAUAAUCUGAGGAAGAUAUUGAAAAAUUAUUGGAGUAGAGGUGCCAUUCAAACAGCUUUGUCUCAGGCAGGGUCGCUUUUCAAGCCACGAUCUGCGUACCUUCCCAUAGAGCUGCUAGGAGAGGAGGGGUUUGAUAAUAUGGAACCUUUUGUGCCAGCUUCUGUCUCCAACUACAGCGAGAAAGAGUUUGAGAGCUGUUACCUGUACUAUUUAGACCACAACUGGCUUCAGCAUCUGCAGAGUAAAUUUGUGUACUUAAACCUGAGAGUUAGCAUUGCUGUUACUGUGAGGAGAAUUAAUCUAUACUAUAUGUAUGUUCCAGUAUCAAUUGCUUUAAGACUACACAGGAAACAUGACCUUAUACUUCAAUUUAAAUGUAUAAAUAAUAAAAAUAAAUGCAGAAAUGACAUAUCUAUUUACAACUUCUUGA
Xyrauchen texanus (razorback sucker) is the source of this 3877-nucleotide long non-coding RNA. RefSeq lists it as uncharacterized. NCBI's taxonomy places the organism in Eukaryota, Metazoa, Chordata, Actinopteri, Cypriniformes, Catostomidae. The transcript has 3 exons. The record is from RefSeq and is a predicted model, not a curated record.